Molecule: ribosomal RNA, 433 nt
Filed under: uncultured bacterium
Lineage: Bacteria
Description: partial 16S ribosomal RNA
Rfam family: Bacterial small subunit ribosomal RNA
Source: RNAcentral
AACGAACGCUGGCGGCAUGCCUAACACAUGCAAGUCGAACGAGACCUUCGGGUCUAGUGGCGCACGGGUGCGUAACGCGUGGGAAUCUGCCCUUGGGUUCGGAAUAACAGUUGGAAACGACUACUAAUACCGGAUGAUGACGUAAGUCCAAAGAUUUAUCGCCCAAGGAUGAGCCCGCGUAGGAUUAGCUAGUUGGUGAGGUAAAGGCUCACCAAGGCGACGAUCCUUAGCUGGUCUGAGAGGAUGAUCAGCCACACUGGGACUGAGACACGGCCCAGACUCCUACGGGAGGCAGCAGUGGGGAAUAUUGGACAAUGGGCGAAAGCCUGAUCCAGCAAUGCCGCGUGAGUGAUUAAGGCCUUAGGGUUGUAAAGCUCUUUUACCCGGGAUGAUAAUGACAGUACCGGGAGAAUAAGCUCCGGCUAACUCCGUG